RNAcentral lists this ribosomal RNA (255 nucleotides) under uncultured bacterium. Its description in RNAcentral is "partial 16S ribosomal RNA". It matches the Rfam family "Bacterial small subunit ribosomal RNA", at positions 524 to 776 of the family's 1533-position model. The record is from RNAcentral.
UACGUAGGGGGGCUAGCGUUGUCCGGAAUCAUUGGGCGUAAAGAGCGUGUAGGCGGCCCGGUAAGUCCGCUGUGAAAGUCGGGGGCUCAACCCUCGAAUGCCGGUGGAUACUGUCGGGCUAGAGUGCGGAAGAGGCGAGUGGAAUUCCUGGUGUAGCGGUGAAAUGCGCAGAUAUCAGGAGGAACACCGAUUGCGAAGGCAGCUCGCUGGGACGUGAACUGACGCUGAGACGCGAAAGCGUGGGGAGCAAACAGG